AGAGUUUGAUCCUGGCUCAGAUUGAACGCUGGCGGCAGGCUUAACACAUGCAAGUCGAGCGGAGAUGAGGUGCUUGCACCUUAUCUUAGCGGCGGACGGGUGAGUAAUGCUUAGGAAUCUGCCUAUUAGUGGGGGACAACAUUCCGAAAGGAAUGCUAAUACCGCAUACGUCCUACGGGAGAAAGCAGGGGAUCUUCGGACCUUGCGCUAAUAGAUGAGCCUAAGUCGGAUUAGCUAGUUGGUGGGGUAAAGGCCUACCAAGGCGACGAUCUGUAGCGGGUCUGAGAGGAUGAUCCGCCACACUGGGACUGAGACACGGCCCAG
Molecule: ribosomal RNA, 324 nt
Filed under: uncultured Acinetobacter sp.
Lineage: Bacteria; Pseudomonadati; Pseudomonadota; Gammaproteobacteria; Moraxellales; Moraxellaceae
Description: bacterial SSU rRNA
Rfam family: Bacterial small subunit ribosomal RNA
Source: RNAcentral